AGCAGGUAAACUUCUUUCCCAGGAAGGAGCACACAUGUGGUUUCAUACUCUUUGGCUUAGGUAUGUCAGAAACCAUGGCAGUGUUUGGUGACACUGAGACACAAUCAGGAUAUACCUGUCAUAUUUCACUUCUGCAUUUCCUGCAAAUCUCUCUAUUUUCUGACAGGGCACAAGGGCUGGGUUAUGAUGUACAGGUGGUUUACUUGAUGGUGUGUGUGGCUUUGAAGAUAAACUCUGGGACUAUUCUUCAAAUGCUGGGCACGCUGAAAAGGAAUUCCCUCCUGCUUCUGGAAAUCAUGAACUGGGAAAAAGCUAAGGACUUUGUCCUUGGCAUCUGGUGCUGUGGAAUAUGAAGCAUAAGAACAUGGACUCAAUGCCAAACACUAACCCAGGCAUGGAAAGGUUUGAGAUGGGGUCCAGGGACCAAGAGGAUAGAGGUCAUGAUCUCAUGGUUUGUGGGUUUGAGCCCUACAUCAAGCUCUGCACUGACAGCUCAGAGCCUGCUUGGGAUCCUCUCUUUGUCUCUCUCUCUGCUCUUCCCAUAAGCACCCCCCACCCUCUCAAAAUAAAUAAAUAAAUAAACUUAAAAAAUACUAAAAAUUUGUGAUUGAAAAUAAAAGACAUUCUGGCCUUAAUUAAGUAUAUAAUUAAAUGAUUAAUUGUGUCUUUUGUGGCCUAAUUGGCUUUACUUUCCUAUACCCUUUGUGUCCACAAAGGUGACCAAGGUCCACCAUGGUAGGGCUCAGAAGCUUUGGGUGUCAUUGUCGGCAGAAUGUGUCAUGUUGUAUGUGUUUGGUAUCUCUCCAUAAACCUCCAUGACCUUUGGGGAUGGAAUGUCAACAUGUCCAUCUACUUUUUUUUUUUAAGUUUAUCUAUUUUGAGAGAGAAAGAGAG
Long non-coding RNA from Acinonyx jubatus (cheetah), 894 nucleotides. RefSeq lists it as uncharacterized. NCBI's taxonomy places the organism in Eukaryota, Metazoa, Chordata, Mammalia, Carnivora, Felidae. The transcript has 3 exons. The record is from RefSeq and is a predicted model, not a curated record.